GUUUUGUAUCCAGUCCAGCAGGGUCAUUAUGUAACUCGGUGAACGCUUUAAAAUCACAGUCACGACAACAAAUGACAGCGAUUUUUCGUUUUUGCGAUCAUGUAACACACAUCUCCCACCGAAAUGACGUCAUCUUGGAUCGUUCUCUGUCACGGUCACUUGUAGGGAUUUAUCCAAGUUAUAACGCAGUUUUUACGUAUCGAUAGUCAGUUUAAGCGAUUAUGUAAGCAUAAUGAUCAUACAACUGGGUGACACAGAAGUUGUCAAAGUCAAUCGCUAUAGAAACUAAUACCGAGCAGUGUUUUAAUAAAGUUUACUUGACGCCUGUGAUUCAAUAAUUACAAAUAAAAGUACUUUUAGGAUUUUUUUGAAUUUUGUACUAUACCUUGUAAGUAAGGUAUUAGUUUGUAAGUCAAUAAAAUCAGAAUUAGAAAAGUUUUUCAUGUAAAAUAUGACGAAAGUUGAGAAUAUAUAGUAGUGUUUACCGACAUUGCCAUGUACAAUACAAUGCAUGUAGCAUUUGUAUUGUACGCGGAAACGGAACGAAAAAGAUGUCUUUGUCGAGUUCAUUGCAAAACUUUCGUGUCGCGAUACCAGCAGGUUUUAGAAGAAAUACAAAGUCUUCGAACAACUGCUGUUCGCAAUGAAUUAGAGAUAAGUAAGUUAUAUGAAUGAAUGAAGGAAUUUUCUUCAUUCUCUGCGUUGAGCAAGUGACGUGGACUAUGGGCCUAACCCCUCUCAUUCUGAGAGGAGACUCGAGCUCAGCAGUGAGCCGAAUAUGGUAUUUUUAUAUGGUCUUGGCAGCUUUAAACUUUUAUGCCAAUGGAUCAUACAAAUGGCUUUGUGAUGGCUAAGGCAUCUUUUAGCAAAUGCCUACAUGAAGUCGCUGACGCUCCUGAAUACCCCAGCUGUUUAAAAAAAAUGUGUUAAGUUCCCUUUGCAUUAAACACAAAAUCAUUAUAAAUAAAUAUGUGAUGCCAAUCUAAUAAUAACAUAGUGGAUGCUCAAUUUGGUGGUGCAUCUUAUGACUUGUACAUAUGGAACCAGUGCAAUAAGACCACUUGAGGAAAACCUGCCCAAUAGGGACCGCUGUUGGUUGUUAGGUGACCAAUGUUUGCAUGAUGACCCCCAUCUUGGGAGCUGCUCCUAGAUCCCAUGAAGAUAUGCACAACAUUGCUGUGUCAGAAAUACGGUGGAGCCUUGUAGUUGGGUGCAUAUUGUAAAAUGUUUCCUCACUCCAAAACCAUGAACUCUGGUUUCCUAAACCCUCAAGCUAUGCAGCCGAAGGAGGAGACUUAUCACAGGAGAAUCACUAAUAAUUUUGAAGAAGUGAAGAGCUUAACAAUGUUUCAACCAACACCUAAAGAAGCUUUCACUUAGCUGUUAGAUCAAGGGCUGGAUACAGAAAACAGUAAUCCUUGUGAUGGCAGUAUUGUCCAAGGAUUCCUUACUCAAAACCAUGAUAACAAGUUUCUAGAACCCUCAAGCUAUGCAGACAAAGGACUGGAUAUAUUUUUUCGUGACCAAGCCUUCUGUAUAAUUAUUUAUACUUAAACCAUACAAAGCACUAUCUAGCCCCAAAGUAGGCAUACAGAGUAGCUUGUGUUGUGGGUACUAAGAUAGUUGAUAUUAUAAUAUUCAUUUACAUUUAUAUACUACCUAUAAAUACUUAUAUAAUGUAUAAAUACACACACACUGGAAAAAACCCAUGCUCUUCACACAAAUAUUUUCCAGGUGUGGGAAUCGAACCCAUGACCGUGGAUGCAGGAGCACUACUUACUGCGCCACGCGUAUGUGUUUUUAUUUUGAAGCAAAUUAUUAAAGUUGAUAAUUCAAAUUGUAGUCAUGUUUUUAAUUAAUCUAUAAUUAAUUUUUAAUUUACAUUUUUGUUAAAUAUUUACCUAUACUUCAGUCUAUUUUUGUUAGAGGGGGUACCUAUAUGUGUAAGUAGGGUCGUUUCUUGAUUAAAUUAAACUAAAGAAUGAAAGAUAUAUAUUAUAACAAAAUUUGUCAACAACAAUAUAUCAAGUCUGAAUAAAAAAUACCAACACAAGUAAA
Molecule: long non-coding RNA, 2058 nt
Organism: Bicyclus anynana (squinting bush brown)
Lineage: Eukaryota; Metazoa; Arthropoda; Insecta; Lepidoptera; Nymphalidae
Exons: 6
Source: RefSeq, a predicted model, not a curated record